This 356-nucleotide ribosomal RNA is filed under the name uncultured bacterium. RNAcentral describes it as "SSU rRNA". It matches the Rfam family "Bacterial small subunit ribosomal RNA", at positions 26 to 376 of the family's 1533-position model. The record is from RNAcentral.
AGAGUGAACGCUGGCGGCAGGCCUAACACAUGCAAGUCGAGCGGCAGCGCGGUGGUAGCAAUACCAUUGGCGGCGAGCGGCGGACGGGUGAGGAACACAUCGGAAUCUACCCUGUCGUGGGGGACAACGUAGGGAAACUUACGCUAAUACCGCAUACGACCUUUGGGUGAAAGCGGGGGACUCGCAAGAGCCUCGCGCGAUUGGAUGAGCCGAUGUCCGAUUAGCUAGUUGGCGGGGUAAUGGCCCACCAAGGCGACGAUCGGUAGCUGGUCUGAGAGGACGACCAGCCACACUGGAACUGAGACACGGUCCAGACUCCUACGGGUGGCAGCAGUUUCGAAUCAUUCACAAUGGGC